UGGGGAAUAUUGGACAAUGGGCGAAAGCCUGAUCCAGCGACGCCGCGUGUGUGAAGAAGGCCUGCGGGUUGUAAAGCACUUUCGAUGGGAACGAAAUGUGCCGGGUUAAUACCCCGGUAAGCUGACGUUACUCAAUGAAGAAGCACCGGCUAACUCUGUGCCAGCAGCCGCGGUAAUACAGAGGGGGCAAGCGUUGUUCGGAAUUACUGGGCGUAAAGGGCGCGUAGGCGGCCUGCUAAGUCGAACGUGAAAUCCCCGGGCUCAACCCGGGAACUGCGUCCGAUACUGGCAGGCUUGAAUUCGGGAGAGGGAUGCGGAAUUCCAGGUGUAGCGGUGAAAUGCGUAGAUAUCAAGAGGAACACCUGAGGUGAAGACGGGUUGCUGGGCUGACACUGACGCUGAGGCGCGAAAGCCAGGGGAGCAAACGGGAUUAGAUACCCCAGUAGUCCCUGAGCGGGCUGGCAAGGCGCAU
Molecule: ribosomal RNA, 472 nt
Filed under: uncultured bacterium
Lineage: Bacteria
Description: bacterial SSU rRNA
Rfam family: Bacterial small subunit ribosomal RNA
Source: RNAcentral